RNAcentral lists this microRNA precursor (75 nucleotides) under Nannospalax galili (Upper Galilee mountains blind mole rat). RNAcentral describes it as "miRNA (ENSNGAG00000007738.1)". Lineage: Eukaryota; Metazoa; Chordata; Mammalia; Rodentia; Spalacidae. The record is from RNAcentral.
UGCAUGAAAUACACACUGGCCUUGGAGUCAGAACAUCUGAGUUCUAGUUCCCCUCGGCCAUUUACGUAUACCUUU